Molecule: ribosomal RNA, 494 nt
Filed under: uncultured bacterium
Lineage: Bacteria
Description: partial 16S ribosomal RNA
Rfam family: Bacterial small subunit ribosomal RNA
Source: RNAcentral
GACGAACGCUGGCGGCGUGCUUAACACAUGCCAGUCGAACGGAAAGGCCUGCUUUCCCUUGUGGAUUGCGGGUACUCGAGUGGCGAACGGGUGAGUAACACGUGAGUGAUCUGCCCCCAACUUGGGUAUAAGCCUGGGAAACUGGGUCUAAUUCCCGAUAGGACUGCAGGGUGGUGCCUGUGGUGGAAAACGAUUUUCUAGUGGUUGGGGAUGAGCUCGCGGCCUAUCAGCUUGUUGGUGGGGUAAUGGCCUACCAAGGCGGCGACGGGUAGCCGGCCUGAGAGGGUGGACGGCCGCAUUGAGACUGGGAUACGGCCCAGACUCCUACGGGAGGCAGCAGUGGGGAAUAUUGCACAAUGGGCGGAAGCCUGAUGCAGCGACGCCGCGUGGGGGAUGACGGCCUUCGGGUUGUAAACUCCUUGCGACCGCGAGGAAGCCACCUGGUUGGAAGGGUGGUGACGGUAGUGGUAGAAGAAGCACCGGCUAACUACGUG